This 434-nucleotide ribosomal RNA is filed under the name uncultured Clostridium sp. RNAcentral describes it as "partial 16S ribosomal RNA". It matches the Rfam family "Bacterial small subunit ribosomal RNA", at positions 341 to 792 of the family's 1533-position model. The record is from RNAcentral. Lineage: Bacteria; Bacillati; Bacillota; Clostridia; Eubacteriales; Clostridiaceae.
AUGGAAGGCAGCAGUGGGGAAUAUUGCACAAUGGGGGAAACCCUGAUGCAGCGACGCCGCGUGAGUGAAGAAGUAUCUCGGUAUGUAAAGCUCUAUCAGCAGGGAAGAAAAUGACGGUACCUGACUAAGAAGCCCCGGCUAACUACGUGCCAGCAGCCGCGGUAAUACGUAGGGGGCAAGCGUUAUCCGGAUUUACUGGGUGUAAAGGGAGCGUAGACGGCGAUGCAAGUCUGAAGUGAAAGGCGGGGGCUCAACCCUUGGACUGCUUUGGAAACUGUAUUGCUAGAGUGCAGGAGAGGUAAGUGGAAUUCCUAGUGUAGCGGUGAAAUGCGUAGAUAUUAGGAGGAACACCAGUGGCGAAGGCGGCUUACUGGACUGUAACUGACGUUGAGGCUCGAAAGCGUGGGGAGCAAACAGGAUUAGAUACCCUGGUA